This 468-nucleotide ribosomal RNA is filed under the name uncultured bacterium. RNAcentral describes it as "partial 16S ribosomal RNA". It matches the Rfam family "Bacterial small subunit ribosomal RNA", at positions 28 to 507 of the family's 1533-position model. The record is from RNAcentral.
GACGAACGCUGGCGGCGUGCUUAACACAUGCAAGUCGAACGGAAAGGCCCUGCUUUUGUGGGGUGCUCGAGUGGCGAACGGGUGAGUAACACGUGAGUAUCCUGCCCUUGACUUUGGGAUAACUUCAGGAAACUGGGGCUAAUACCGGAUAGGAGCUCCUGCUGCACGGUGGGGGUUGGAAAGUUUCGGCGGUUGGGGAUGGACUCGCGGCUUAUCCGCUUGUUAGGGAGGUUGUGGCAUACCAAGCCUUUGACGGCUAGCCGGCCUGAGAGGGUGACCGGCCACAAUGGGACUGAGGUACGGCCCAGACGCGUACGGGAGGCAGCAGUGGAGAAUAUGGCACAAUGGGCGGGAGCCAGAUGCAGCAACGCCGCGUGCGGGAAGACGGCCUACGGGUUGUAAACCGCUUUCGCCUGUGACGAAGCGUGAGUGACGGUAAUGGGUAAAGAAGCACCGGCUAACUACGUG